GGUCAUUGGAAACUGGGGAACUUGAGUGCAGAAGAGGAGAGUGGAAUUCCACGUGUAGCGGUGAAAUGCGUAGAGAUGUGGAGGAACACCAGUGGCGAAGGCGACUCUCUGGUCUGUAACUGACGCGGAGGAGCGAAAGCGUGGGGAGCGAACAGGAUUAGAUACCCUGGUAGUCCACGCCGUAAACGAUGAGUGCUAAGUGUUAGGGGGUUUCCGCCCCUUAGUGCUGCAGCUAACGCAUUAAGCACUCCGCCUGGGGAGUACGGUCGCAAGACUGAAACUCAAAGGAAUUGACGGGGGCCCGCACAAGCGGU
RNAcentral lists this ribosomal RNA (314 nucleotides) under Bacillus velezensis. RNAcentral describes it as "bacterial SSU rRNA". It matches the Rfam family "Bacterial small subunit ribosomal RNA", at positions 621 to 933 of the family's 1533-position model. The record is from RNAcentral. Lineage: Bacteria; Bacillati; Bacillota; Bacilli; Caryophanales; Bacillaceae.